Ostrinia furnacalis (Asian corn borer) is the source of this 1436-nucleotide long non-coding RNA. RefSeq lists it as uncharacterized. The record is from RefSeq and is a predicted model, not a curated record. NCBI's taxonomy places the organism in Eukaryota, Metazoa, Arthropoda, Insecta, Lepidoptera, Crambidae. The transcript is spliced from 3 exons.
CAAUUAGUGGAUCUCUUGGUGGGUGCUAGUUUGCGCUCAGUGCUAAGGACAUAAGGUGCAUAAUCCGUUGACCCUCGGAUAUCGGGUGAAGCGGAGGGCGAGGGCGACGACGAGGACGGGUACACGGCGCGCGCCCUGUACGACUACCAGGCCGCCGCGCCCGAUGAGAUCUCCUUCGACCCUGAUGACGUCAUCACCAACAUCGUCAUGAUUGACGAGGGUUGGUGGCAAGGGCUUUGCAAAGGCGCGUACGGCCUCUUUCCCGCCAACUACGUACAGCUACAGGACAAAUAAACAAGCUACAGCGCCACCUACUCACAUUCCUACUGAACUAACGAACGUAUGCAGUUCACAUCGAUCAAGGUAGAUUUAUAGCAAAAGUUGUUGUGAUUGGUUGAGCAUGACCCUAUAAAUUGGUUUUAUUAUCUUCUCUUUAAAAAUGUCUAGAUAGUGAACCAGUAUUUCUAGUCUCUGGUACAGUUAGUACGAUUUUUUAGGUAUACAAGAACAGACAAGAGAAAUUAUUCCUUUAUCUAUGGCUUGAUCAAUCAUGACAUUAUUUUAUAAUUAUUUUCAAGGACUAACAGAAUGUAUGUAUGCACUUUGUAAACAUAGCACUUUUUUACAAUAUUUUGCCAAGUCUUAAUAUUUUUUAUACAGGAUAGUGUAAAUAAUUUAAGCAAAAUUAAUCUUCGUAUCGAUAUUUCAUAGAGUAAGUAAAAAAAUAAACUGAUAAAUCACACUAAAUUCCACUUUAGAUUUGGAGAAAAAAAGAACGUUGUAAUUGUUUUUUUGAUUCGUUUGAAAUAUUUAUAAUGUCAAUAAAUUGCAAAUCAAGCUUUAUUUUAAUAAACAGGUAACAUUUAAGUUGUACUUAAAUAAUACUCAAAAAUGAAAUUAUUGAUACAAAGAUCAAAAUAUCAAGAUGGCUGUGGCUGUCACGUGACCUUUUAAAAAUAUUGUAAACUAAUUUUAAGAAUACGAUAAUCAUGCUUCGUAAAGACAAAACAAAUUGUUACUGUUGAAUAAAAGCAAUCUAGCUUAGAAAUAUACAAAAUAUCGACUAGAUGUAGAGUUUAAUAUGGUUCUUAUAAACAUGAAAUAAUAGGGUACUAGAAAUAUCCACAGAACACCAAUAGGUAGACAUUAAAUUGUAAAUUAAAGAACAUGGAAGUUUAUAAAAAACACAAUUUUCCCCCUCUAGCGUUCUUUGUUCGUCAUCAAGUUAAAGUUUCAUCAUUUUUGGAUCUUAAGACAAUUUAAGGCAAUAAAAAUCUUAAAAUGUUGAAAGAUUUUAUUUUAAUGAUCUUAAAAACGACGUUUCAUGCGACUCUUAGUUCUUUUGUCAUGAAUAUCGUCUAUUGACAUCCCAACUAAUAUUAUAAAUGCGAAAGUAACUCUGUCUGUCUGUCUGUCUGUUACGCUUUCCCGCUUAA